This 489-nucleotide ribosomal RNA is filed under the name uncultured bacterium. RNAcentral's name for it is "SSU rRNA". It matches the Rfam family "Bacterial small subunit ribosomal RNA", at positions 26 to 518 of the family's 1533-position model. The record is from RNAcentral.
AGGACGAACGCUGGCGGCGUGCUUAACACAUGCAAGUCGAGCGGAAAGGCCCUUCGGGGUACUCGAGCGGCGAACGGGUGAGUAACACGUGAGCAACCUGCCCUUAGCUCCGGGAUAGCUCCGGGAAACCGGAAUUAAUACCGGAUAUGACCUAGGCCGACAUCGGCUGUGGUGGAAAGUUUUUCGGCUGGGGAUGGACUCGCGGCCUAUCAGCUUGUUGGUAGGGUAACGGCCUACCAAGGCGACAAUCCGUAGCUGGUCUGAGAGGACGACCAGCCACACUGGGACUGAGACACGGCCCAGACUCCUACGGGAGGCAGCAGUGGGGAAUAUUGGACAAUGGGGGAAACCCUGAUCCAGCGACGCCGCGUGUGUGAAGAAGGCCUGCGGGUUGUAAAGCACUUUAGUGGGAUGAAAGCCUAGGGUUAACACCUCUGGUCUUGACCUAACCCACAGAAAAGCACCGGCUAACUCUGUGCCAGCAGCCGC